This 419-nucleotide ribosomal RNA is filed under the name uncultured bacterium. Its description in RNAcentral is "bacterial SSU rRNA". It matches the Rfam family "Bacterial small subunit ribosomal RNA", at positions 356 to 773 of the family's 1533-position model. The record is from RNAcentral.
AGGGAAUAUUGGACAAUGGGCGGAAGCCUGAUCCAGCCAUGCCGCGUGAGGGAAGAAGGUCCUCUGGAUUGUAAACCUCUUUUGGCGGGGGACAAACCACCACUACACGUGGUGCUGAGGGUACCCGCAGAAUAAGCACCGGCUAACUCCGUGCCAGCAGCCGCGGUAAUACGGAGGGUGCAAGCGUUGUCCGGAUUCAUUGGGUUUAAAGGGUGCGUAGGCGGCCUGGUAAGUCAGCGGUGAAAUACCCACGCUCAACGUGGGAACUGCCGUUGAUACUGCCGGGCUUGAGUUCGUGCGAGGUCGCUGGAAUGCGUGGUGUAGCGGUGAAAUGCAUAGAUAUCACGCAGAACACCGAUUGCGAAGGCAGGUGACUGGCACGCGACUGACGCUGAGGCACGAAAGUGUGGGGAGCAAAC